Molecule: ribosomal RNA, 790 nt
Filed under: uncultured Polaribacter sp.
Lineage: Bacteria; Pseudomonadati; Bacteroidota; Flavobacteriia; Flavobacteriales; Flavobacteriaceae
Description: bacterial SSU rRNA
Rfam family: Bacterial small subunit ribosomal RNA
Source: RNAcentral
GUAACAUUGUGCUUGCACAGAUGACGACCGGCGCACGGGUGCGUAACGCGUAUAGAACCUACCUUUUACAGAGGAAUAGCCUUUAGAAAUGAGGAUUAAUGCCUCAUGGUAUUGUAGACUGGCAUCAGUUUAUAAUUAAAGAUUUAUCGGUAAAAGAUGGCUAUGCGUCCUAUUAGUUAGUUGGUAAGGUAACGGCUUACCAAGACAGCGAUAGGUAGGGGUCCUGAGAGGGAGAUCCCCCACACUGGUACUGAGACACGGACCAGACUCCUACGGGAGGCAGCAGUGAGGAAUAUUGGACAAUGGAGGAGACUCUGAUCCAGCCAUGCCGCGUGUAGGAAGAAUGCCCUAUGGGUUGUAAACUACUUUUAUACAGGAAGAAACACAGGUAUGUAUACCAGCUUGACGGUACUGUAAGAAUAAGGACCGGCUAACUCCGUGCCAGCAGCCGCGGUAAUACGGAGGGUCCGAGCGUUAUCCGGAAUCAUUGGGUUUAAAGGGUCCGCAGGCGGUCGAUUAAGUCAGAGGUGAAAUCCCAUAGCUCAACUAUGGAACUGCCUUUGAUACUGGUUGACUUGAGUCAUAUGGAAGUAGAUAGAAUGUGUAGUGUAGCGGUGAAAUGCAUAGAUAUUACACAGAAUACCGAUUGCGAAGGCAGUCUACUACGUAUGUACUGACGCUGAGGGACGAAAGCGUGGGGAGCGAACAGGAUUAGAUACCCUGGUAGUCCACGCCGUAAACGAUGGAUACUAGUUGUUGGGAUUUAUCUCAGUGACUAAGCGAAAGUGAU